Molecule: transfer RNA, 73 nt
Filed under: Cordylochernes scorpioides
Lineage: Eukaryota; Metazoa; Arthropoda; Arachnida; Pseudoscorpiones; Chernetidae
Description: tRNA-Thr
Source: RNAcentral
GUCCAGGGGCGGGAAUCGAACCCACAACGUUCCGCUUACCUGACAGAUGCCAUGUCCACUAGGCUACCCUGGA